Molecule: ribosomal RNA, 497 nt
Filed under: uncultured bacterium
Lineage: Bacteria
Description: partial 16S ribosomal RNA
Rfam family: Bacterial small subunit ribosomal RNA
Source: RNAcentral
GAUGAACGCUGGCGGCGUGCCUAAUACAUGCAAGUCGAGCGAACGGACGAGAAGCUUGCUUCUCUGAUGUUAGCGGCGGACGGGUGAGUAACACGUGGAUAACCUACCUAUAAGUCUGGGAUAACUUCGGGACACCGGAGCUAAUACCGGAUAAUAUUUUGAACCGCAUGGUUCAAAGGUGAAAGACGGUCUUGCUGUCACUACUCGAUGGAUCCGCGCUGCAUUAGCUAGUUGGUAAGGUUACGGCUUUCCAAGGCAACGAUGCAUAGCCGACCUGAGAGAGUGAUCGGCCACAUGGGAACUGGAACGGGGUCCAUACUCCUACGGGAGGCAGCAGUAGGGAAUCUUACGCAAUGGGCGAAAGCCUGACGGAGCAACGCCGCGUGAGUGAUGAAGGUCUUCGGAUCGGAAAACUCUGUUAUUAGGGAAGAACAUAUGUGUAAGUAACUGUGCACAUCGUGACGGUACCUAAUCAGAAAGCCACGGCUAACUACGUG